UUUAAAUAUUAAAGUCGUCGGUGAAGAAAUGAAUUUGGCGUUUAGCGAUAUGACCAACUAUGAGAUGGUAUUAUCACUACACUCUGGUUUGAACUGAUGAUUUAAGUGAUGAUAAACAAGGACUUCCGCCUCAGCAGAAACAUCCACCGCAGCAACCGCACCAUCAGCCACCUUCUCAGAUGAUUACUCCACAACAACAUUCCCAACCACCUCCACAGCAUCAGCAGCCUCCUCCAUACUACCAGGGAAUGCAUCUGCAAAACUUCAAUCUACCGACAUUUGGUUUUCACCGCCCCUGGGGCUACGAUUACGAUGGGUAUCUACCUCCAUGGGGAAUACCAUCACGGAAUAUGCAACAAUGCAACAACAUCGUGCCAUUCCGCAACAAGAAAAACUUUUGAUGCAAAACCAAGAAGAGUUUUGUGAAAAAAAAAACUAAUUGUGGAUCAAGUGUGCUACUUCAAAGCUUUAUACAUCAAGAGGAAACGAAUUUCUUUGAAAAUGUAUCCCAAAGAAUUGUCGAACUAUUUGAUGUACUCUGUGGUAUGUUAACAUCACCAACUGCUUAUCUACUACUAAUAUUUGGCUACUACCUGUCUUUCGCAAUGUCGCAAGGAGAGCCAAUUAAUUGCUAUUGCUAAACUACAUGCUGAACGAAGCUCACUGGCCUCAUACAAAACUAAGCCAAAGCUAAGCUGGAGCCUGGAGGAUCAAGUUGUUUCUUUAGAAAAGCUGAAGCAAGUUAAGAAAUGAAUAAGAGCAUAUCCGAAAUUCUUAACAACCAAAGUGGAGAUGAAUCAUUCAAAAGCAAUGUGGAGGAACUGCUAAGGCAACAUAAUGAACAACAGCAUACAAUCUUACAGCCCUAUUCUGCUAUCCAUCGGGGGGAAAAAUCGCUAAAUAUUCACCAAUUACCAUUCUGCUAUUAGGGGGGUUCACAUUGACCAACUUACCGGACAGACCGGUUGUCAUUUGGCCUGAUGGCCGAAUUAUAUUUUUCGUUCACACUCAUCAGACAAUUUUCAUCAAAACCCAUUUUUCAGCUUAUUUUUAAUAUAUCUUUACCCUAUUCUGCUCUCAAAUUAGAGAGAAUGGAUUAUCACUGUCUGCCGGACAGACAUGUCGUUUAAUUGACUAACAUGUCCGUCCGACCACCAAAAAAUCAAAAUUUUUUGAAAACCAUCCGGCAAACCGGACAGGCCGUUGGAUGGGUGUUCACAUUAUCAAAACAGCAUCAGAUCAGACCAAAUGGCAGCUGGUCUGUCCGGUAAGUUGGUGAAUGUGAACCCCCCUAUUCAUAGGGGGGAAUCCAAACUCACGUCGGUAAUAUCGGUAAUGUUGUUCAGUAUUCCACUAAUCACGUGAAUGAACUUGCUCCAUACAUUUGCAAUCCGCAUAAAAAAUGUUGCGGAUCUGUCACUUUUGGUUGUAAAAAAUUCACCAUCGUUGAAAUUAAGCAAAAUGCCACUUUUCAUAAAUUUUUAAUUAUUUCUUAACAUUUAAUCGGCUGUUUUUAUUUUUUCUAUGCAAAUAAACACAAACAAAAAAUUUUGUUUUCCUUUCAAUUUAAUUCGUCGCCAUUUUUUUUUAAUUUGACGUUCACCUGGACGUCCUGGAAAUAUAUAUACAAUGGUGUAUAUCACACCUAUAGAGUUGGCGAUUGAAGCCACAAAAAAAUAAAAAAAAAAAAUAAAUUUUAUAUAAACUGUCAAACAUUUUAUAUAAUCUGUCAGAUUUCGAGCUCGUUUUCCAUGGGCGAACUUACUCUUAUUGGUGAUGACAAGGCGAUGCAAUCAUUGACCGCCAAUGUUUUAGCUAAUCUUAAUGAUUUUGCAACAAUUUUCAGUCUGUUUUUAGUUGAAAAAAAAAAAACAGUUUAAAAUUCGUAUAUAAUUAUGAUAAAAAAUAGCACUUAUACGGAAGUCUCUCACGAGACCAAUUACUUUUCUAUUGGCGCCCCUUGAGUGAACAAUAUAUAUGCACUCCGACCCUUUACCAAUACAUGUGCAUCUGUACAACUCACACUAAUAAAAAGUGGCUUCACUUAUUUGGAUAAACACCCCUUCCUGUACUUCUUAUUCAAUGAAAGCAACACUUUUUCCACUUUAAAUCACCUGAUCCAUGGCUGAACCACUGCUAACCCACCAAUAUCGGUGGGUAACUUCUGAUCGUGGUUCAGCUGUGGGUUAAGACCUGAACCUCGAUUGUACAACACUGCAAAUGAGUUGAACCGAGUUCAAGCGUUGAUCCGAGGAUGAACCACGUUUGUACAACUGGCCCUGAGGGUUAACUCACGGAUCAGCUGAACUCAAGUUAACUCUUGAACCAAGUUCAACUUUUAGUGGGUUGUAUAGUUGUAGAUGAAGUGAGAGUCAGCUGAACCCCAGUUUAGGUUUAUAUACAAGAAAAUUUUAGUAUACAUAUAUAUACCUAAUGUCACUGUCAGUUGUUGUUAUUUUAUAAAGCACAAAGUUGGUAAAAAUGUAUCGUCCGUCUAUUAAUUGUGAUUUGGAAGAAAAUACACAAAAAUUAAGCAUUAUUUUAGUGAAAAUAGUUUUUUGCCUAUUCUAAUGGUGGCCGGACCUUCAUCAAGUUAUCUGAUCAGGACGAGGAGAAUUCUUGGGGGGUUGUUUUAUUUGUUUGAUGUUUUUUUUUUUUUUUUGGAGAAAAUUGUGUAUUCAUAUAUAAAAAUUAAUUAAGUAUUAAAAAAUACACAUAAAAGUGAUAAAAGCUGUGUUAUUAUUUUAUUUAUUAUUUAGCAUCACAAACACAUCCAAAACAAAUAAAAAAAAAAACACCCCAAUCAUUCACAGUACACAUAAAAAGGUAAUAUAAAUAUAAAGACAGUCCGACCUCCGAUCGAGAAAAGCGGGGUUGCACUCACACACUUGCAACUUUUUGUGUAUGAACACAAAGUCUAAGAGAAUCGUGGUGAAAACUGAGAAAAGGAAAAAAAAGUAGACAGACAUAGCCAACAAGAGCAAAAGCGUCAUUUUGUUAUUUUUUGUUGAAGUGUUUAGUCGCGUCGUGUCUCGUGUCGUUGUUAAUAAAAUAUAAGUGUAAUUAUAAACAAUUAUAUCAAACUAUUAACAAUAUGGAAACAAAAAAAGAUGUAAUCUCUAAUGAUGAAGAAAAAGGCAGAAGGUGAAACAUGCGAUUGGGCAUCUAAAGAAACAUCAACAACAGCAGCAACAACAAAUAAAAUAAAAUGAAAAAAAUGUAUUCUAUUUUAUAUUGUAUAUAUUGUGAAAAUUUCGUUUGCCAAAAUAAAAUAAAAAAAAAACAGUU
This is a long non-coding RNA of Episyrphus balteatus (marmalade hoverfly), 3288 nucleotides long. RefSeq lists it as uncharacterized. The record is from RefSeq and is a predicted model, not a curated record. Lineage: Eukaryota; Metazoa; Arthropoda; Insecta; Diptera; Syrphidae. The transcript has 5 exons.